GACAGAGGGUGCAAACGUUGUUCGGAUUUACUGGGCGUAAAGCGUGUGUAGGCGGCUUCGCAAGUUGGAUGUGAAAUCCCACGGCUCAACCGUGGACGUGCAUCCAAAACUGCGUCGCUACAGUCUCGGAGAGGAAGGUGGAAUGCUUGGUGUAGAGGUGAAAUUCGUAGAUAUCAAGCAGAACACCUGCGGCGAAGGCGGCCUUCUGGACGAUGACUGACGCUGAGACACGAAAGCGUGGGGAGCAAACAGG
Molecule: ribosomal RNA, 253 nt
Filed under: uncultured bacterium
Lineage: Bacteria
Description: partial 16S ribosomal RNA
Rfam family: Bacterial small subunit ribosomal RNA
Source: RNAcentral